AACCGCCGUGUACGAGACCCGUAUGUCCGGUGGUGUGAGAGGACGGGGUUUAGUCCCCCUCCUACUCGAU
Molecule: non-coding RNA, 70 nt
Filed under: Tepidibacillus fermentans
Lineage: Bacteria; Bacillati; Bacillota; Bacilli; Caryophanales; Bacillaceae
Source: RNAcentral